This 775-nucleotide ribosomal RNA is filed under the name uncultured Neocallimastigales. RNAcentral describes it as "partial large subunit ribosomal RNA". It matches the Rfam family "Eukaryotic large subunit ribosomal RNA", at positions 26 to 642 of the family's 3401-position model. The record is from RNAcentral. Lineage: Eukaryota; Fungi; Neocallimastigomycota; Neocallimastigomycetes; Neocallimastigales.
CGCAUCUGUGCAUGCAGCAUAUCAAUAAGCGGAGGAAAAGAAACUAACAAGGAUUCCCCUAGUAACGGCGAGUGAAGCGGGAAGAGCUCAAAUUUGAAAUCUUAAAGGGUUUCCCUUUACGAAUUGUAGUUUAAAGAAGUGUUUUCUGUUGAGGUUUUGGUAAAAGUUCUUUGGAAUAGGACAUCAUAGAGGGUGAGAAUCCCGUAUUUGACCUUUACUUUCAACUUUGUGAUACACUUUCAAAGAGUCGGAUUGUUUGGGAAUGCAGUCCAAAAUGGGUGGUAAAUUUCAUCUAAAGCUAAAUAUUGGCGAGAGACCGAUAGCGAACAAGUACCGUGAGGGAAAGAUGAAAAGAACUUUGAAAAGAGAGUUAAACAGUACGUGAAAUUGUCAAAAGGGAAGCGUUUGACACCAGUGUUGUUUUUCUGAAAAUCAAUUAAAGAACUGUUUAUGCUAAGCUGUUUAGACUUUAUCAGCUAACUGUUUAGUUUUGAGCUUUUCUUUAAUGCACUUUUCAGUUAACAAGUCAACAUCAAUUUCUUUUGCUGUAAAAAAGCUUGAGGAAGGUGGCUUGAGAUUCGUCUUAAGUGUUUAUAGCCUCUUGCCUAUGCAGUCGGAGAGAUUGAGGUCUGCAGCGUAGAUCCUUCGGGGCUAAAUGCAUUUGUGCUAAGUUAUAGCAUUUUAUAGACAACUUGUUGACUAUGAUUUGUCUUGUAGCUUACUCGCUUAUGUUAUUUUACCUACGCUUAGGAUGUUGACGAGACUGUCGAUCUCA